GGGGGCGUCCCGGUUUCGACGGGACGUCGGACGCGCUGGUUGCACGUGGAGGUUGAUCGGCUGGCCUCCUAAAAAGCCGUUCAAAUAAACAAAUGCAGACUCGAACGAGCUCGCAUUGGCCGCUUAAUUGACGGUCACGUCAGAACCCCGACGCCUUCUAGGGGGGAUGGCGACACCUUGAAGGCUGGGCGGCAGGUCGGGAAACCGGGCAGGCCGCCGAGAUCCAACAGGUUCCUAGGAACGACAACGCCGCAGGCGGGCCAAGCCGAUCCGAAUCCCCAGACCACCUGCUAAACGUGUAGAGACCAUCGCUGAAGGCGUCCCGGACAGGGGUUCGACUCCCCUCGCCUCCACCA
Molecule: transfer-messenger RNA, 356 nt
Filed under: Akkermansiaceae
Lineage: Bacteria; Pseudomonadati; Verrucomicrobiota; Verrucomicrobiia; Verrucomicrobiales
Also listed under: 1 other name
Description: Luteolibacter sp016871685 Standard tmRNA
Rfam family: transfer-messenger RNA
About the family: Bacterial tmRNA, also known as 10Sa RNA or SsrA, is named for its dual tRNA and mRNA-like properties. Its role is to liberate the mRNA from a stalled ribosome.
Source: RNAcentral